Molecule: transfer RNA, 71 nt
Filed under: Clostridium chauvoei JF4335
Lineage: Bacteria; Bacillati; Bacillota; Clostridia; Eubacteriales; Clostridiaceae
Rfam family: tRNA
About the family: Transfer RNA (tRNA) molecules are approximately 80 nucleotides in length. Their secondary structure includes four short double-helical elements and three loops (D, anti-codon, and T loops).
Source: Rfam by way of RNAcentral
GGCGCUAUAGCCAAGCGGUAAGGCAUAGGUCUGCAAAACCUUUAUCCCCAGUUCAAAUCUGGGUGGCGCCU